This 1009-nucleotide ribosomal RNA is filed under the name uncultured organism. RNAcentral describes it as "bacterial SSU rRNA". It matches the Rfam family "Bacterial small subunit ribosomal RNA", at positions 470 to 1485 of the family's 1533-position model. The record is from RNAcentral.
UGACAGUACCUCGCUAGAAAGCACCAGCUAACUACGUGCCAGAAGCUUCGGUAAUACGUAGGGUGCAAGCGUUAUCCGGAUUUACUGGGCGUAAAGGGUCCGUAGGCGGCCUAUUAAGUCUCUUGUCCAAGCCCGAGGCUCAACUUCGGAGAAGCAAGAGAUACUACUAGGAUUGAGUUAGUUCGAGGAAGCUGGAAUUCUCGGUGGAGGGGUGAAAUCCGUAGAUCUCGAGAGGAACGCCAAGUGCGAAGGCAAGCUUCUAGGACUCAACUGACGCUAAGGGACGAAAGCUUGGGUAGCAAAAGGGAUUAGAGACCCCUGUAGUCCAAGCCGUAAGCACUCCUUGCUAGUUGUUCCUGGUUUCGACCGGGAGUGACGUAGUUAACGCGAUAAGCAAGGCGCCUGGGGAGUACAACCGCAGGGUUUAAACUCAAAGGAAUUGGCGGGGGAGCGAACAACCGGUGGAGCAUGUGGUUUAAUUCGAUACAAAGCGAACAACGUUACCUGGGCUUGACAUCUAGCUGCAACGCCUGAGAAAUCAGGAAGCCUUCGAGGGUGCUAGACAGGUGAUGCAUGGCUGUCGUCAGCUCGUGUUGUGAAACGUCCGCUUAAGUGCGGUAACGAGCGAAACCCUUAUUGUAUGUUAUACGUAUCAUACAAAACCGCCCCGCCUCAGCGGGGAGGAAGGAGAGGACGACGUCAAGUCAGCAUGUCCCUUACGUCCAGGGCUACACACAUCCUACAAUGGGAAAGACAACGAGUCGCGACGGAGCGAUCCUGAGCCAAUCUUAAUAAACUUUCCCUCAGUUCAGAUUGAAGGCUGCAACUCGCCUUCAUGAAGCUGGAAUCGGUAGUAAUCGCAAAUCAUUAGGUUGCGGUGAAUACGUUCUCGCUCCUUGCACACACUGCCCGUCAAGCCAGCAAAGUCAGCAGCGCCCGAAGCGGUUGACCAUAACUUCGCUUGUCGAAGAGUGGCACUGCUACGGCGAAGUUGGCAAUGAGGACUAAG